This 465-nucleotide ribosomal RNA is filed under the name uncultured bacterium. Its description in RNAcentral is "partial 16S ribosomal RNA". It matches the Rfam family "Bacterial small subunit ribosomal RNA", at positions 28 to 507 of the family's 1533-position model. The record is from RNAcentral.
GACGAACGCUGGCGGCGUGCUUAACACAUGCAAGUCGAACGGAAAGGCCCCUUUGGGGGUACUCGAGUGGCGAACGGGUGCGUAACACGUGAGUAACCUGCCCUUGACUUCGGGAUAACUUCAGGAAACUGGGGCUAAUACCGGAUAGGAAUCAUUGCUGCAUGGUGGGGGUUGGAAAGCUUCAGCGGUUUUGGAUGGAUUCGCGGCCUAUCAGCUUGUUGGUGGGGUAGUGGCUUACCAAGGCUUUGACGGGUAGCCGGCCUGAGAGGGCGACCGGCCAAAUUGGGACUGAGAGACGGCCCAGACUCCUACGGGAGGCAGCAGUGGGGAAUAUUGCACAAUGGGCGGAAGCCUGAUGCAGCAACGCCGCGUGCGGGAUGACGGCCUUCGGGUUGUAAACCGCUUUCAGCAGGGGCGAAGCUUGUGGUGACGGUACCUGCAGAAGAAGCACCGGCUAACUACGUG